CCACUGUAGGAUGAAACACAUCGCCUGUAAGGCCCCUUCUAACCCCGAAACCUACCUCUUGAAACCUACCUCUUUCCUUUAUUAGGUAAGGAAAUUGUCACCAAGAAAGGCCCGGUGAUUUGCCCGUCUCACAGUUAGUUAAUGACAGAAACCGAACCUCUGGUCUCAUAAGCUGCAGUCAUGUAUCCCACAUAUUUUCAAGGGUUCCGACUCCAGGAUCACAACGGACAGAGCACCAAGAGGUUCAUAGAGUGUGAUCGCUGCCACUCCGGGAGAGCAUCGCGUUGAAGGUCACUCCUUGUCUUGCUUCUGAAGAUGCCAUUAGGGACCACUGAUAACCGAUCGCAGGUGCGGCCGAGAACCUCUGCAUCGCCUCAUGUGAUUGGUUGACUCCACUUCAAACGUGCUAUAUACAUCGCACCUGUUUCCAGUCCAGCUGAACACGCUUUGCGUUCUCAUUUUUAACGUCUUAGAAGAACAAGCUCGUGGUUACCAUAGCAACUGUCCGGCGGCGACUUCUGCUUGGAGAUGAGCAUGCCAACAACAAUACUGCUUCUUUUUCUUGAUCUAGACUAGCCUUGCGGGUGGGCCCAGAUCACUCAAGCAGUAAUAGUCACAUUCAUGGAAAGAUGAUCAGCUCAGUUCGACCACCCCGAAAGAGGAAAAGAGGCUGGAAUGUAGUCAAAGAAAGCAAGAUCACACAGGGCUGGAAAGUCAGACCGACGAGUUCAAAGUCAACUCCACAGGCUUUGAGAAAGAGUCCUUGGAGAUUCAAGUACUUUGUUGAUUAACAGAAGAGACAGUACAAAGAGCCAUGAGACCCAGCUUUUGCUUCCAUGGAUCAACAUAUUUCAAUUCAAAAUACUGACUGAGUCCAGGGUAGGGAAUUUAGGAAAGAAUUAUGUACAAACAACCAUCAUUAGAAGAGUUAAAUAGAAAGAGACAAACAUAGGAAUGAUAAGCCAACAGAGGCCCCAGGGAGAAGGUAAUGUGUGAGCUAAGCCUUGAAGAAGUAGGAUCACAUCCUGGGAACGCUGGGGCACCAUUUUCUUCAGUUUCAUUUGACUCUGGACAUCGUGACUGAAAAUGUGCCCUAAGAAGUCCAUUUUGUCUGGAUGACAUACUUGAAAGGAGAAAACCACAAUGUUCAUUUACUUCACAAAUAAAGACAACAUUCACUUAUUUUCA
This 1188-nucleotide long non-coding RNA is filed under the name Felis catus (domestic cat). Its description in RNAcentral is "lncRNA (ENSFCAG00000041442.2)". Lineage: Eukaryota; Metazoa; Chordata; Mammalia; Carnivora; Felidae. The record is from RNAcentral.